UACUGCACAAUGGGGGAAACCCUGAUGCAGUGACGCCGCGUGAGUGAAGAAGUAUUUCUGUAUGUAAAGCUCUAUCAGCAGUGAAGAUNNUGACGGUACCUGACUAAGAAGCCCCGGCUAACUACGUGCCAGCAUCCGCGGUAAUACGUAGGGGGCAAGCGUUAUCCGGAUUUACUGGGUGUAAAGGGAGCGUAGGUGGCAGGGCAAGUCAGAUGUGAAAACCCGGGGCUCAACCCCGGGAGUGCAUUUGAAACUGUCCAGCUGGAGUGCAGGAGAGGUAAGCGGAAUUCCUAGUGUAGCGGUGAAAUGCAUAGAUAUUAGGAGGAACACCAGUGGCGAAGGCGGCUUACUGGACUGUAACUGACACUGAGGCUCGAAAGCGUGGGGAGCAAACAGG
This 397-nucleotide ribosomal RNA is filed under the name uncultured bacterium. Its description in RNAcentral is "bacterial SSU rRNA". It matches the Rfam family "Bacterial small subunit ribosomal RNA", at positions 362 to 776 of the family's 1533-position model. The record is from RNAcentral.